GGUUUGAUUCUGGCUCAGAUUGAAGGCUGGCGGGAUGCUUUACACAUGCAAGUCGAACGGUACACGACCCUGGUCUGGUGGCGAGUGGCGAACGGGUGAGUAAUGUAUCGGAACGUGCCUAGUAGCGGGGGAUAACUAUGCGAAAGCGAAGCAUACGCUGCACCCGGGGGAAAGCGGGACCUUCGCCUUCGCACUAUUAGAGCGGCCGAUAUCGGAUUAGCUAUUGGCGGGCAACGGCUCACCAAGGCGACGAUCCGUAGCUGGUUUGAGAGGACGACACCAGCCACACGGGAACUGAGACAUCGCCCAGACUACGGGAGGCAGCAGUGGGGAAUUUUGGACAAUGGGGGAAACCCUGAUCCAGCCAUCUCGCGUGUGCGAUGAAGGCCUUCGGGUUGUAAAGCACUUUUGGCAGAAAGAAACGGCACGGGAUACCCCGUGCAACUGACGGCAAUCAUAAUAAGCACCGGCUAACCGCUGCGCCAGCAGCCGCGGUAAUACGUAGGGUGCAAGCGUUAAUCUGGAAUUACUGGGCGCAAGCGUGCAGGCGGUUCGGAAAGAAAGAUGUAAACCAGAGCUAACUUCUUGGAACUGCAUUUUUAAUCACCGAGCUGAAGAUGCCGGAGGGAGGUGGAAUUCCGUGUAUGCAGGUAAACGCGCAGUAGAUAUGUUGAGGAAACGACCGAUGCGCAAGUAGCCCUCCGAUAAUACUGAUAAGCCUACGACGAAAGGUAAGAGCAAACAGAGCGAUGACCCCGGUAGUCCACGCCCUAAACGAUGGGUCAACUAGCUGUUGGGGCCUUCGGGCCUUGCAGCAGCUAAUGUUAUUGACCGCCUGGGGAGUACGGUCGCAAGAUUAAAAACCUUGAAAGAAUCUCACUUAAAAUCCGCACAAGCGGUGGAUGAUGGAUUAAUCUGAUGCAACGAAAACCUUACCUACCCUUGACAUGUCUGAAUCCCGGGAAGAGAUUUUGGGAGUGCUCGCAAGAGAACCGGAACACAGGUGCUGCAUGGCUGUCGUCAGCUCGUGUCGAGAUGUUGGGUUAAGUCCUGCAACGAAAGGCAACCCUUGUCAUUAGCUACUGAAAGGCACUCUAAUGAGACUGCCGGUGACAAACCGGAGGAAGGUGGGGAUGACGUCAAGUCCUCAUGGCCCUUAUGGGUAGGGUCACACGUCAUACAAUGGUCGGGACAGAGGCGGUCGCCUUCAACCCGCGAGGGGGAGCCAAUCCCAGAAACCCGGAUCGUAGUCCGAGACCGAAGUUCACAACUCGACUGCGUGAAGUCAACCGCUAAAAUCGCGGAUCAGCAUGUCGCGGUGAAUACGUUCCCGGGUCUUGUACACACCGCCCGGGUCACACAGCGGGCUUACCAGAAGUAGUUAGCUGGAACGGAGGGCGAUUACCACGGUAGAUCUGCUGACUGGGGCGAAGUCGCAUCAGCGUAA
This 1447-nucleotide ribosomal RNA is filed under the name uncultured Bordetella sp. Its description in RNAcentral is "partial 16S-23S ribosomal RNA intergenic spacer". It matches the Rfam family "Bacterial small subunit ribosomal RNA". The record is from RNAcentral. Lineage: Bacteria; Pseudomonadati; Pseudomonadota; Betaproteobacteria; Burkholderiales; Alcaligenaceae.